GGCCUCGUAGCUCAGUGGAUAGAGCGUCCGCCUCCUAAGCGGAAGGUCCCAGGUUCGACCCCUGGCUUGGUCG
Molecule: transfer RNA, 73 nt
Filed under: Basidiobolus meristosporus CBS 931.73
Lineage: Eukaryota; Fungi; Basidiobolomycota; Basidiobolomycetes; Basidiobolales; Basidiobolaceae
Rfam family: tRNA
About the family: Transfer RNA (tRNA) molecules are approximately 80 nucleotides in length. Their secondary structure includes four short double-helical elements and three loops (D, anti-codon, and T loops).
Source: Rfam by way of RNAcentral